CACCCACCCUUAGUCGGUUAAAAUCUCCACCGUCAAGAACUGAACGGGUGGGAGCCACACCUCAUUGACGGGCCUAGAAUAAUCUCUACCCACAAAGCAAAAAGCCAAAGGUAUAUUUAUUCUUCUACCUCCAUGCUCUACGCUCUAGGCUCUAGCCAGUUCAGUUGGGUUCUCUCUCUCUCUCUUUCUCUCUCUCAUAGAAAUAGAAAGAAAAAGUGUAAUGGUAGUAGUAAUGGCCAGCUCUCUCACAGUGACCAAUACCUUAUCAUCCCCAAAACUCAAAACCCUUUACAAGAAGCUCUCUAUCCCAAUACCAACUCCUCUCUCUUCCCGCCUUCUCUACAAUCCCAAAACCCUAUCUUCUCUCUCUCUUUCUCUUAACCUCAAACACCGUAGCUUCGCCGCUCGCGCCGACUCUCAAAACGGGGCCGAGCCACCCAGCCACUACGACUUCGACCUCUUCACCAUCGGUGCUGGCAGCGGUGGUGUCCGCGCCUCCCGCUUCGCCGCCAAUUUUGGGGCCUCAGUCGCCGUCUGUGAGCUUCCCUUCUCCCCCAUUUCUUCCGAAACCACCGGUGGAGUUGGCGGCACGUGCGUACUUCGUGGAUGUGUACCAAAGAAACUAAUGGUGUAUGCUUCACAUUAUUCUCAUGAAUUUGAAGAGAGUCGUGGUUUUGGAUGGAAAUAUGAUGUCGAACCCAAGCAUGAUUGGAGCACCUUGAUGGCUAAUAAAAAUGCAGAGUUGCAGCGUCUUACUGGUAUCUACAAGAACGUUCUGAAGAAUGCUGGUGUUACUUUAAUUGAAGGUCGUGGAAAGAUUGUGGACCCACACACAAUUGACGUGGAUGGGAAGUUAUAUUCAGCAAGGCACAUACUAAUUUCAGUAGGUGGCCGCCCCUUCAUUCCUGAAAUCCCUGGAAGUGAAUAUGUAAUAGAUUCAGAUGCUGCGCUUGACUUGCCCUCAAAGCCUGAGAAAAUAGCAAUAGUUGGUGGUGGGUACAUAGCGUUGGAAUUUGCUGGCAUAUUCAAUGGUCUGACAACUGAAGUUCAUGUAUUUAUACGGCAGAAGAAAGUUUUAAGGGGUUUUGAUGAAGAGAUCAGAGAUUUUGUUGCAGAACAAAUGUCUCUAAGAGGAAUUGAAUUCCAUACAGAGGAGUCGCCCCAAGCUAUCAUAAAAUCAUCUGACGGUUCAUUGUCUUUGAAGACCAACAAAGGAACUGCUGAAGGUUUUUCACAUGUUAUGUUUGCGACAGGACGUAGACCUAAUACAAAGAACUUAGGAUUGGAAACAGUAGGGGUGAAAAUGACCAAGAAUGGAGCAAUAGAGGUUGAUGAAUACUCCCGUACAUCAGUCCCUUCUAUUUGGGCAGUUGGAGAUGUUACUGAUAGAGUGAAUCUGACUCCGGUAGCUUUGAUGGAGGGAGGGGCAUUAGCAAAAACUCUGUUCCAAAAUGAGCCAACAAAACCUGAUUAUAGAGCUAUCCCGUCUGCUGUGUUCUCCCAGCCACCGAUUGGACAAGUUGGACUUACUGAAGAACAGGCUAUACAAGAAUAUGGUGAUGUUGAUAUCUUCAUGGCAAAUUUUAGGCCCUUAAAGGCUACUCUGUCAGGGCUCCCAGACAGGGUCUUGAUGAAACUUGUAGUCUGUGCAAAAACAAACAAAGUUCUGGGAUUGCACAUGUGUGGAGAAGAUUCACCUGAAAUUGUCCAGGGAUUUGCAGUUGCUGUGAAAGCUGGCUUGACCAAGGCAGACUUUGAUGCUACAGUGGGUAUUCACCCAACCGCAGGUGAGGAGUUUGUCACAAUGAGGACUCCUACUAGGAAAAUCCGGCAGACAGCUGAGGGAAAGACUGAUUCUGAGGUCAAAGCUACUGCAGGGGUUUAGCAAUGGUCUGGAUCAAUCUGCUGCAUAUCAUAGCUGGUUCUUAUAACAGAUGUAUCAUUCUGCUGACUUCCUUAGACGGAAUGUUGUAUAUGCCUAAACAAAAGCUUCUCAUACAGUUGUCAUCUGGGCUACUGCAAGUGAACAUCCUAAUGUGGAAUAGUAAAGGGAUAGUUGGAAAAUUUUAGAAGCCGACUUGGACAAGUGAUUGGGCUUCUCAAGAUAGCAUCAAUAGUUCUAAUUUUCACACCGGACUGUCGACAUACUUAAGCAGAAGAGAAAGGUCUUUGAUAGCAAUGGUUCUGUAAUUUUGCUUUACAGGAGUCAUAACAUACCCUUCCUUUACGUUUAGGAAAUACAUGUUUCUUCCUUUAAUUUUCUCUUUUUGGUUUCAGGCCCACCUUUUUGAACACUUGUAACAGAAAACAUGUUGGUUGAAGAUGUUUUAAUUUUGAAAGUUAUGAUUUUACGCAUU
Molecule: RNA transcript, 2357 nt
Organism: Quercus robur (English oak)
Lineage: Eukaryota; Viridiplantae; Streptophyta; Magnoliopsida; Fagales; Fagaceae
Gene name: glutathione reductase, chloroplastic
Exons: 12
Source: RefSeq, a predicted model, not a curated record